ACGAACGCUGGCGGCGUGCUUAACCCAUGCCAGUCGAACGGAAAGGCCCUGCUUUUGUGGGGUGCUCGAGUGGCGAACGGGUGAGUAACACGUGAGUAACCUGCCCUUGACUUUGGGAUAACUUCAGGAAACUGGGGCUAAUACCGGAUAGGAGCUCCUGCUGCAUGGUGGGGGUUGGAAAGUUUCGGCGGUUGGGGAUGGACUCGCGGCUUAUCAGCUUGUUGGUGGGGUAGUGGCUUACCAAGGCUUUGACGGGUAGCCGGCCUGAGAGGGUGACCGGCCACAUUGGGACUGAGAUACGGCCCAGACUCCUACGGGAGGCAGCAGUGGGGAAUAUUGCACAAUGGGCGGAAGCCUGAUGCAGCAACGCCGCGUGCGGGAUGACGGCCUUCGGGUUGUAAACCGCUUUCGCCUAUGACGAAGCGUGAGUGACGGUAAUGGGUAAAGAAGCACCGGCUAACUACGUG
RNAcentral lists this ribosomal RNA (467 nucleotides) under uncultured bacterium. RNAcentral's name for it is "partial 16S ribosomal RNA". It matches the Rfam family "Bacterial small subunit ribosomal RNA", at positions 29 to 507 of the family's 1533-position model. The record is from RNAcentral.